Molecule: long non-coding RNA, 553 nt
Organism: Drosophila pseudoobscura
Lineage: Eukaryota; Metazoa; Arthropoda; Insecta; Diptera; Drosophilidae
Exons: 3
Source: RefSeq, a predicted model, not a curated record
UUGCGUUGGGAUGACUUCUGGCUGCUUACUUAGUUGCUGACAUACAUAUGUAAAUUUAUUAUGUACAUACAGCUAAUUUCGUACACCAAUAUGUGUUUUAUUUAUUUAAUUGGCAGGUUUUGUCUUCAGCUUUGUAAUAAUUUGUAUGUAAUUUUGUGUAGCUUAUGUUGUUAUAUUUGUUGGCUCUUUUUUUUUUUUAGGACUUUGGUUGUUUUAGUUUCAGGUUUGCGGCAGAUUUGGUAAGUGUUUUAAAUUGUAUUUUGGCUGAAUUUAAUUUUGUUUUAUUUACAGGUUUGGUAAUAGAGUGUCAUCAAUCAAGUUAGGUUUAAAGAAAAUUGGUGUGAAAAAGAAAAAGUGAUUUCAAUUGUUUUUACGCCAAUUGUAAUUUUAUUUUAUCUGCAGUUUUAUUUUUUGCUGGUUUGGUGGUAAGGUGUCACAUACAAUGGCUGUUGCGCUUGUUGUCUACAACUUGUUUGCGUAUUUACUGACAUUGAUUGUUAUGUAAAUAGUUAUUUUGUACGUAUGUAUGUAUGUAUGUAUGUAUGAUAGAUUU